This 735-nucleotide long non-coding RNA is filed under the name Panax ginseng (ginseng). RNAcentral describes it as "long non-coding RNA (PGIN_LNC006591)". Lineage: Eukaryota; Viridiplantae; Streptophyta; Magnoliopsida; Apiales; Araliaceae. The record is from RNAcentral.
UUUUAUCUCUCUCUAAGAUUUUCUCUAUCUAAACUCAUAUCAGAUCUAAAAUUUGUUACGGAAGGAGGCGCGGUGAGGGAGGAGAAAAAAUGGGCUAGCAGUCGUUCGGCAAUGGGCGGAAGGCUCCGAAACUCUUCUUCCUCAUCUUCACGUUCGACAAGUGGGGGAUUUGGUUUGUUUUGGAUCUGGUGUGGAGGGUUGCUAUGGGUUCAUGGUGGCUGAUUCCUUGCCAAUUGCGGGAUGGGUUUAUAUGUUUGCUAAGCUUCUUUUUUUCUCAGAUUUUGACUUGAUUUCGCCGAAAUUUAGGUUUAUUUUUAUAUUUGUUUCGGUUGAUUAAUGUUUUAAUUUCCUAUCAACUGAUGCUUUUUUGUUUAUUGACUUGAUUUCGCCGAUUGACUUGAUUUUUAUAUUUCUCAGAUCUUGACUUGAUUUCGGUUGUUGGUGGUGUUGAUGUCCCUAGUGGUGAUAUUAGAUGGUGGUGGUGGUGGUGGACUGGGUGGUUCACAUGGUAAAUACAAUUAUUAAUAAAUAAAACUUAUUAAUAAAAUACAUAAUAAAUAGAUUAUCAAAUAUAUAUAAAAUAUUAUUUUUAUACACAUUAGAUGGUACAAUAGUAUUUUUUGUUUUAAUUAUUUGACACGUCAGUAAAAUAUGUCCAACUGUCAAUUCCGUUUGUCUAGUUGGCACAACUGUUAACGGCAGGGGCAUGAAUGACCCAAAAAUUGUAACGUUAAG